RNAcentral lists this transfer RNA (85 nucleotides) under bacterium. Its description in RNAcentral is "tRNA-Ser". It matches the Rfam family "tRNA". Rfam says of the family: Transfer RNA (tRNA) molecules are approximately 80 nucleotides in length. Their secondary structure includes four short double-helical elements and three loops (D, anti-codon, and T loops). RNAcentral also lists the same sequence under 5 other names. The record is from RNAcentral.
GGAGGGGUGGGUGAGCGGUUGAAACCACCGGUCUUGAAAACCGGCAACCCGCAAGGGUUCGAGGGUUCGAAUCCCUCCCCCUCCG